This 30-nucleotide non-coding RNA is filed under the name Mus musculus (house mouse). The record is from RNAcentral. Lineage: Eukaryota; Metazoa; Chordata; Mammalia; Rodentia; Muridae.
UAAGAGUUCUUUUCUUCAUUGCAUAUGUCU